This 446-nucleotide ribosomal RNA is filed under the name uncultured bacterium. RNAcentral's name for it is "partial 16S ribosomal RNA". It matches the Rfam family "Bacterial small subunit ribosomal RNA", at positions 338 to 795 of the family's 1533-position model. The record is from RNAcentral.
CCUACGGGAGGCUGCAGUCGAGAAUCAUUCACAAUGGGGGAAACCCUGAUGGAGCGACGCCGCGUGGGGGAAUGAAGGUCUUCGGAUUGUAAACCCCUGUCAUGUGGGAGCAAAUUAAAAAGAUAGUACCACAAGAGGAAGAGACGGCUAACUCUGUGCCAGCAGACGCGGUAAUACAGAGGUCUCAAGCGUGGUUCGGAAUCACUGGGCGUAAAGCGUGCGUAGGCUGUUUCGUAAGUCGGGUGUGAAAGGCGCGGGCUAAAACCGCGUACGGUACAUGAUACUGCGAGAAUAGCGUAAAGGAGGGGGAACCGGAAUUCUCGGUGUAGCAGGGAAAUGCGUAGAUAUCGAGAGGAACACUCGUGGCGAAGGCGGGUUCCGGGACAUUAACUGACGCUGAGGCACGAAGGCCAGGGGAGCGAAAGGGAUUAGAUAACCCAGUAGUC